GAAACACGGACCAAGGAGUCUAGCAUGUGCGCGAGUCAUUGGGAACAACUAAACCUAAAGGCGUAAUGAAAGUGAAGGUCCGCCUAGCGCGGACCGAGGGAAGAUGGGCGGUCACGUUUCCGUGCCGCCCCGCACUCCCGGGGCGUCUCAUUCUCAUUGCGAGAAGAGGCGCACCAAGAGCGUACACGCUGGGACCCGAAAGAUGGUGAACUAUGCCUGGUCAGGACGAAGUCAGGGGAAACCCUGAUGGAGGUCCGUAGCGAUUCUGACGUGCAAAUCGAUCGUCGGAACUGGGUAUAGGGGCGAAAGACUAAUCGAACCAUCUAGUAGCUGGUUCCCUCCGAAGUUUCCCUCAGGAUAGCUGGCGCUCGUCGCCUACGAGUCUCAUCCGGUAAAGCGAAUGAUUAGAGGCAUUGGGGUCGAAACGGCCUCAACCUAUUCUCAAACUUUAAAUGGGUGAGAUCUCCGGCUUGCUCGAACUUAUGAAGCCGCGAGACACGGAUCAGAGUGCCAAGUGGGCCAUUUUUGGUAAGCAGAACUGGCGCUGUGGGAUGAACCAAACGCCGAGUUAAAGCGCCUAAAUCGACGCUUAUGGGAUACCAUGAAAGGCGUUGGUAACUUAAGACAGCAGGACGGUGGCCAUGGAAGUCGGAAUCCG
This 658-nucleotide ribosomal RNA is filed under the name Lemidia aptera. Its description in RNAcentral is "partial 28S large subunit ribosomal RNA". It matches the Rfam family "Eukaryotic large subunit ribosomal RNA", at positions 656 to 1270 of the family's 3401-position model. The record is from RNAcentral. Lineage: Eukaryota; Metazoa; Arthropoda; Insecta; Coleoptera; Cleridae.